UUACUGAGCGGGUGCGUGGAAUGUUGGAGGGCUAGUUAUGGCUCGCCGUUCUAACGUUCAUUAUUUCAACGAUUUUACUGGCGGGUUGAAUCUUGAUUCUCCCCGUCAGUCUUUGGCGUUGAAUGAAACGUUUGAUUGUUUGGAUGUGGAUUUUGACGCUAGGGGCGGGUUUACGCAGCGGCGUGGUGUGAAGGCUAUUUCGGGUUCUGAUUUGGAUAAGAUGAAUGGCGGCUAUUUGUUGGGCCAUUUGUCGUUUGGGACCGAUUUGGUGUUUGGUGUUUCUACGGAUAAACGUUUGUGGACUUGGGAUGGUGCUAGCACUAGCCAUGUUGCUACUGCUGUGACGGAUCAGACUGAUUUUGUGCAUUGGUCAACUUGGGGUAACAAGUUGUAUUUGGCUAACUGUUGGGCUACUAGUGCGCUUGUGAUGCGGUAUCGUACUGGUGCUGGUUUGGCUACUGUGACGACGUUGACUAAUACGUUCAACAAUAACUAUACUGCUCCUACUGGUGGCAAUAUGCCGUUGGCACGGCUUAUUGCUCAACAUCAGGGUUUCAUGUGGGUUGCGGACACGGUGGAAUCUAGUGUUCGGAAUCGUUCUCGGGUGCGUUGGUCGCAUCCGUUGCAGCCUGAGGAUUGGGCUUCUGCUGACUAUUUUGACAUUGAUCCUGAUGAUGAGUCGGAUCAGAUUACUGCGCUGGUCCCGUUUCGCGAUAUGUUGUUGGUGUUCAAGCGGCGGUCUGUGUGGGCUGUGUAUGGCUAUGAUUCGGAUUCGUUUGUUCCUGAGCGUUUGACUGUUGCUUCUGGCGUGUGGGCGCAGGAGGCGGUUACGGUGAAUGCUGGUAUCUGUUAUUGGUGGUCGCCUGAUGGGAAUGUGUAUGCGUUCAAUGGUAAGGGAGUUGUGCCUGUGGGUGGCCGCAUUUCUCGUGUAUUGGACGAUGAUGUGGUUUCUGGUGCGGAUCAUCGGUUGGCGUGGGCCGAAGAUCGGCUAUAUGUUUCUUUGGUAAACAACGAUAACACCCGUUUGUGUUUCGUUUACGAUCCUGGGGUGGGUCGUGCUGGGGCUUGGACGAAGUAUAGUUUGGAACCUACGUCGUUUGUUUGGUGGCGUGGCACAAAUGGGAAUAACUCAUUUUUUAUGACGUUGCGUGGCAAGAAUGGCAUUUUCAAUCAUGCUGUUUCUAAUCAAGUGCAGGACGAGUUUUCUACUGGGGUGUUGUCUACGAUUCCAGCGUAUUAUUCUACGUCAUGGUUUACUGGUGGCGAUACUGCGUUGAAGAAGCAGUUUCGUCGUGUGCAUCUUACGUCUGCGACGAAGGACCCGUGUACGUUCAAGGUGGAUGUGUAUUACGAUUUCAACGAUUCGGCUGUGCGCCGAACGUUGGUGUUGGAUGUUCUUGAUGGCGGCACGAGCCUAACGUGGGGUACAGGUUUGUGGGCUAAGAUGAGGGGUGAUAACGAGGAAGCUUGCUUCCGAAGUGAGUGAUACCCUGCUUCCAGGAAAAGCCACUAAGCUUCAGCUGCAUACGACCGUACCGCAAACCGACACUGGUGCGCGAGAUGAGUAUUCUAAGGCGCUUGAGAGAACUCUGGAGAAGGAACUCGGCAAAUUGACACCGUAACUUCGGAAGAAGGUGUGCCUUUAGUAGGUGAAGCCCCCGCGGGUGGAGCCCAAUGAGGUCGCAGAGAAUCGGUGGCUGCAACUGUUUAAUAAAAACACAGCACUCUGCAAAGACGAAAGUCGACGUAUAGGGUGUGACGCCUGCCCGGUGCUGGAAGAUUAAUUGAUGGGGUGCAAGCUCUUGAUCGAAGUCCCAGUAAACGGCGGCCGUAACUAUAACGGUCCUAAGGUAGCGAAAUUCCUUGUCGGGUAAGUUCCGACCUGCACGAAUGGCGUAAUGAUGGCCACACUGUCUCCUCCAGAGACUCAGCGAAGUUGAAAUGUUUGUGAUGAUGCAAUCUCCCCGCGGAAAGACGGAAAGACCCCAUGAACCUUUACUGUAGCUUUACAUUGGACUUUGAACAGAUCUGUGUAGGAUAGGUGGGAGGCUUUGAAGCCAGGACGCUAGUUCUGGUGGAGCCGACGUUGAAAUACCACCCUGGUGUGUUUGAGGUUCUAACCUAGGUCCAUUAUCUGGAUCGGGGACAGUGCAUGGUAGGCAGUUUGACUGGGGCGGUCUCCUCCCAAAGCGUAACGGAGGAGUUCGAAGGUACGCUAGUUACGGUCGGACAUCGUGAUAAUAGUGCAAUGGCAUAAGCGUGCUUAACUGCGAGACUGACAAGUCGAGCAGAUACGAAAGUAGGACAUAGUGAUCCGGUGGUUCUGUAUGGAAGGGCCAUCGCUCAACGGAUAAAAGGUACUCUGGGGAUAACAGGCUGAUACCGCCCAAGAGUUCAUAUCGACGGCGGUGUUUGGCACCUCGAUGUCGGCUCAUCUCAUCCUGGGGCUGUAGCCGGUCCCAAGGGUAUGGCUGUUCGCCAUUUAAAGAGGUACGUGAGCUGGGUUUAAAACGUCGUGAGACAGUUUGGUCCCUAUCUUCCGUGGGCGCUGCAGAUUUGAGGAAGCCUGCUCCUAGUACGAGAGGACCGGAGUGGACACACCUCUGGUGUAUCGGUUGUCACGCCAGUGGCAUUGCCGAGUAGCUAAGUGUGGAAGAGAUAACCGCUGAAAGCAUCUAAGCGGGAAACUCGUUUCAAGAUGAGAUCUGCCGGGGCCUCGAGCCCCCUAAAGAGUCGUUCAAGACCAGGACGUUGA
Molecule: ribosomal RNA, 2755 nt
Filed under: freshwater metagenome
Description: bacterial LSU rRNA
Rfam family: Bacterial large subunit ribosomal RNA (bases 1142-2755)
Source: RNAcentral